This 67-nucleotide transfer RNA is filed under the name marine eukaryotic metagenome. It matches the Rfam family "tRNA". Rfam says of the family: Transfer RNA (tRNA) molecules are approximately 80 nucleotides in length. The record is from RNAcentral.
CCUGUAGUCUAAUGGUUACGACGCCUGGUUUUCAUCCAGGAUAUCGCGGGUUCGAAUCCCGUCAGGG